GGUUAAGCGACUAAGCGUACACGGUGGAUGCCCCGGCAGUCAGGAGGCGAUGAAGGGCGUGCUAAUUCGCGAUAAGCUAGCCGGUAAGGUGAUAUGGAACCGUUAUAACCGGCGAUGCCUCGAAUGGGGAAACCCAGUGUGAUUCCGCCGCGUUCAUCAUUAACUGAACUAUAUAGGUUAAUGAGGCGAACCGGGGAAACUCGAAACAUCUAAGUACCCCGAGGAAAAGAAAUUCCAACCGAGAUUCCCAGUAGCGGCGAGCGAAUGGGGAGUGGUUUCCAGAGCCUGAAUCAGCAUGUGUGUUAGUGGAAGCGUCUGGAAAGGCGCGCGAUACAGGGUGACAGCCCCGUACACAAAAGCGCAUGUGCUGUGAGAGCUCGAUGAGUAGGGCGGACACGUGGUAUCCUGUCUGAAUAUGGGGACCAUCCUCCGUUGCCAAAUACUCCUGACGGACCGAUAGUGAACCAGUACCGUGAGGGGAAAGGCGAAAAGAACCCCGGCGUGAGGGGAGUGAAAAGAACUCAAAGUUCCGUGUACGCAUUGGGGUUAGUGGGGAGCCCUACCACCAAAGCGUUUCGCUUUUGUGUGGCGCACAAAGAAGGUAACGACAGCACUGGAAUGACGGUUAACGGAGCGCAAGCGACGUUCAACAUACAAAGUCAAGCAGUGGGAGCGCUUUUGGGGUGUGGGGUGACUAAAAAAUUCCGUAUAAUGGGUCAUGACUUAUAUUCUGUAGCAAGGUUAACCGAAUAGGGGAGCCGGAGGGAAAACCGAGUCUAAUUGGGCGUUGUUGCAGGGUAUAGACCCGGAAACUCCGGUGAUUCAGCCAUGGGCAGGUGUCAGGUUAUAACAUCAAUCUGAGGACCGAACCGACUUAAUGUUGAAAAUUAGCGGAUGACCUGCGGCUGGGGUGAAAGGCCAAAUCAAAACCGGGAGAUAGCUGGUUCUCCCGAAAGCUUAGGUAGCGCCUCGUGAAUUCAUCUCCGGGGUAGAGCACUGUUUCGCUAGGCCAUCCCGGCUUACCAACCCGAUGCAAACUGCGAAUACCGGAGAAUGUUAUCACGGGAGACACACGGCGUGGCGCUAACGUCCGUCGUGAAGAGGAAACGCACCCAGACCGCCAGCUAAGGUCCCAAAGUCAUGGUUAAGUGGGAAACGAUGUGGGAAGGCCCAGAUGAUGUUGGCUUAGAAGCAGCCAUCAUUUAAAGAAAGCUUUACAAGCCUACUGGUCGAGUCGGCCUGCGCGGAAGAUGUAACGGGCUAAACCAUGCACCGAAGCUGCGGCAGCGACGCUUAUGCGUUGCUGCGGGGAGCUGCUCUGUAAGCCUCGUGAAGGUGGCCUGUGAGGGCUGCUGGAGGUCGAAGUGCGGCACGCUGACAUAAGUAACGAUAAAGCGGGUGAAAAUUCGCUCACAAGUCGGAAGACCAAGGGUUCCUCAACGUUAAUCGGGCAGGGUGAGUCGACCUCUUGGCGCGAGGCCGAAAGGCGUAGUCGAUGGAAAACGGGUUAAUAUUCCCUACCCUGGUGUUACUUCGCGAAGGGGGACGGAGAAGCUGCCAUGCUGGCCGGGCGACGGCUGUCCCGGUUUGCUGCGUAGGUGUGUGUUCCUGUGCAAAAUCCGGCUCACUUUAACACUGAGGCGUGACGACGAGGCACCUGUAUUUCUAAGUUGAAGCAACAAAUGCCCUGCUUCCAGAGUUCUAAGCAUCAGGUAACAUCAAAUCGUACCCCAAACCGACACAGGUGGUCAGUGAGAAUACCAAGGCGCUUGAGAGAGAACUGGGUGAAGGAACUAGGGCAAAAUGGUGCCGUAACUUCGGGAGAAGGCACGCUGACACGUAGGUGAAGUGAUUUACUCAUGGAGCUGAAGUUACCGGGGUCGAAGAUACCCAGCUGGCUGCACCGUUUAUUAAACACAGCACUGUGCAAACACGAAAGUGGACGUAUAUGGUGACGCUUCCGCUCCGGUGCCGGAAGGUUAAUUGAUGGUCAGCGCAAGCGAAGCUCCUGAUCGAAGCCCUGGUAAACGGCGGCCGUAACUAUAACGGUCCUAAGGUAGCGAAAUUCCCUGUCGGGUAAGUUCCGACCUGCACGAAUGGCGGCACGAUGGCCGUAAAGCGUUCCACCCGGGAGACUCAUAGUGAAAUUGAAAUCGCUGUGAAGAUGGUGCGUACCCGCGGCAAGACGGAAAGACCCUUGAACCUUUUUACUAUAGCCGACACCGAACAUUGAGCCUGAUGUGCAGGAUAGGUGGAGGGCCGCAGCGUGACGCCAGUCUGCGGGAGCCGACCUUUGAAAUACCUCACCCUUUUAAUGUUUGAUGUUCUAACGUGAACCCGCAGUAAUCCGCUGCGGACAGUGUCUGGUGGUAGUUUGACUGGGGCGGUCUCCUCCUAAAGAGUAACGGAGGAGCACGAAGGUUGGCUAAUCCCGGUCGGACAUCAGAGUGUUAGUGCAAUGGCAUAGCUUUCAGCUUGACUGCGAGCGUGACGGCGCGAGCAGGUGCGAAAAGCAGGUCAUAGUGAUCCGGUGGUCUUGAAUGGAAGCGCCAUCGCUCAACGGAUAAAGGCAAUCUGGGAUAAUAUAGCCGAUACCGCCCAAGAGUUCAUAUCGACGGUGCGGUGUUUGGCACCUCGAUGCCUAGCUCAUCACAUCCUGGGGCUGAAGUAGGUCCCAAGGGUAUGGCUACGUUCGCCACGAAAAGUGGGUACGCGAGCCGGGCUUCUAGAACGUCGUGAGACAAGUUCGGUCCCUAUCUCGCCGUGGGCGCUGGAGAACUGGAGGGGCCGUUCCCAGUACGAGAGGACCGGAGUGGACGCAUCACUGGUGUUUCCGUUGUCAUGCCAAUGGCACGCCCGGUAGCUAAAUGGAAGAGAUGGGCAGCUGAAAGCAUCUAAGCACGAAACUUCCCGAGAGAUGAGCGCUCCCUCCCUGAGACUGUGGAGUCUCCUGGCGAACGUUGAAGACGACGACGUUGAUAGGCCGGGUGUAAGCGUUAAAGAUGUGCGUUGAGCUAACCGGUACCAAUGAAACCGCAGGCUUAACCUU
This 3049-nucleotide ribosomal RNA is filed under the name Salmonella enterica subsp. enterica. RNAcentral's name for it is "23S ribosomal RNA". It matches the Rfam family "Bacterial large subunit ribosomal RNA". The record is from RNAcentral. Lineage: Bacteria; Pseudomonadati; Pseudomonadota; Gammaproteobacteria; Enterobacterales; Enterobacteriaceae.